GACGAACGCUGGCGGCGUGCCUAAUACAUGCAAGUUGAGCGCUGAAGGUUGGUACUUGUACCGACUGGAUGAGCAGCGAACGGGUGAGUAACGCGUGGGGAAUCUGCCUUUGAGCGGGGGACAACAUUGGGAAACGAAUGCUAAUACCGCAUAAAAACUUUAAACACAAGUUUUAAGUUUGAAAGAUGCAAUUGCAUCACUCAAAGAGGAUCCCGCGUUGUAUUAGCUAGUUGGUGAGGUAAAGGCUCACCAAGGCGAUGAUACAUAGCCGACCUGAGAGGGUGAUCGGCCACAUUGGGACUGAGACCCGGCCCAAGCUCCUUCGGGAAGCAGCAGUAGGGAAUCUUCGGCCAUGGGCGAAAGUCUGACCGAGCAACGCCGCGUGAGUGAAGAAGGUUUUCGGAUCGUAAAACUCUGUUGGUAGAGAAGAACGUUGGUGAGAGUGGAAAGCUCAUCAAGUGACGGUAACUACCCAGAAAGGGACGGCUAACUACGUG
This 497-nucleotide ribosomal RNA is filed under the name uncultured bacterium. RNAcentral's name for it is "partial 16S ribosomal RNA". It matches the Rfam family "Bacterial small subunit ribosomal RNA", at positions 28 to 507 of the family's 1533-position model. The record is from RNAcentral.